CGGCCUACGGGGGGCAGCAGUGGGGAAUAUUGCACAAUGGGGGAAACCCUGAUGCAGCGACGCCGCGUGAGCGAUGAAGUAUUUCGGUAUGUAAAGCUCUAUCAGCAGGGAAGAAGAUGACGGUACCUGACUAAGAAGCCCCGGCUAACUACGUGCCAGCAGCCGCGGUAAUACGUAGGGGGCAAGCGUUAUCCGGAUUUACUGGGUGUAAAGGGCGCGUAGGCGGGAUAGCAAGUCAGUCGUGAAAUGCCGAGGCUUAACCUCGGAGCUGCGAUUGAAACUGUUAUUCUUGAGUAUCGGAGAGG
Molecule: ribosomal RNA, 305 nt
Filed under: uncultured bacterium
Lineage: Bacteria
Description: bacterial SSU rRNA
Rfam family: Bacterial small subunit ribosomal RNA
Source: RNAcentral